CCUUCGAUAGCUCAGUUGGUAGAGCGGUGGACUGUAGAGAUAAAAAUAUAUUAGAAAUAAAUUGUUAGUUAUCCAUAGGUCGCUGGUUCAACUCCGGCUCGAAGGA
RNAcentral lists this transfer RNA (106 nucleotides) under Daphnia magna. It matches the Rfam family "tRNA". From Rfam's summary of the family: Transfer RNA (tRNA) molecules are approximately 80 nucleotides in length. Their secondary structure includes four short double-helical elements and three loops (D, anti-codon, and T loops). RNAcentral also lists the same sequence under 1 other name. Lineage: Eukaryota; Metazoa; Arthropoda; Branchiopoda; Diplostraca; Daphniidae. The record is from Rfam by way of RNAcentral.